AACGAACGCUGGCGGCAGGCUUAACACAUGCAAGUCGAGCGCCCCGCAAGGGGAGCGGCAGACGGGUGAGUAACGCGUGGGAACGUACCUUUUGGUUCGGAACAACUCCGGGAAACUGGAGCUAAUACCGGAUAAGCCCUAACGGGGAAAGAUUUAUCGCCGAAAGAUCGGCCCGCGUCUGAUUAGCUAGUUGGUGAGGUAACGGCUCACCAAGGCGACGAUCAGUAGCUGGUCUGAGAGGAUGAUCAGCCACACUGGGACUGAGACACGGCCCAGACUCCUACGGGAGGCAGCAGUGGGGAAUAUUGGACAAUGGGCGCAAGCCUGAUCCAGCCAUGACGCGUGAGUGAUGAAGGCCUUAGGGUUGUAAAGCUCUUUUGUCCGGGAAGAUAAUGACUGUACCGGAAGAAUAAGCCCCGGCUAACUUCGUG
RNAcentral lists this ribosomal RNA (431 nucleotides) under uncultured bacterium. RNAcentral's name for it is "partial 16S ribosomal RNA". It matches the Rfam family "Bacterial small subunit ribosomal RNA", at positions 29 to 507 of the family's 1533-position model. The record is from RNAcentral.